AUUGAACGCUGGCGGCAGGCUUAACACAUGCAAGUCGAGCGGAGAUGAGGUGCUUGCACCUUAUCUUAGCGGCGGACGGGUGAGUAAUGCUUAGGAAUCUGCCUAUUAGUGGGGGACAACAUUCCGAAAGGAAUGCUAAUACCGCAUACGUCCUACGGGAGAAAGCAGGGGAUCUUCGGACCUUGCGCUAAUAGAUGAGCCUAAGUCGGAUUAGCUAGUUGGUGGGGUAAAGGCCUACCAAGGCGACGAUCUGUAGCGGGUCUGAGAGGAUGAUCCGCCAAACUGGGACUGAAAGACGGCCCAGACUCCGACGGGAGGCGGCAGUGGGGAAUAUUGGACAAUGGGGGGAACCAUGAUCCAGCCAUGCCGCGUGUGUGAAGAAGGCCUUAUGGUUGUAAAGCACUUUAAGCGAGGAGGAGGCUACUGAGACUAAUACUCUUGGAUAGUGGACGUUACUCGCAGAAUAAGCACCGGCUAACUCUGUGCCAGCCGCCGCCGUAA
This 501-nucleotide ribosomal RNA is filed under the name uncultured bacterium. Its description in RNAcentral is "partial 16S ribosomal RNA". It matches the Rfam family "Bacterial small subunit ribosomal RNA", at positions 30 to 523 of the family's 1533-position model. The record is from RNAcentral.